This 1452-nucleotide ribosomal RNA is filed under the name Triticum aestivum (bread wheat). RNAcentral describes it as "partial small subunit ribosomal RNA". Lineage: Eukaryota; Viridiplantae; Streptophyta; Magnoliopsida; Poales; Poaceae. The record is from RNAcentral.
AUGCUCCAAACCUCCUGUUUAUCUGGGAUAGUGUUGGUACAAGGAUGCCCUCUUUCACCUUAUUUGUUUGUCCUUGCCAUAAAUGAGCUCUCAAUAUCCUUGCAAGAAGCCAUGACAGCCAACCACUUGUCAGGUAUAUCUCUUGGACCUUAUUGCCCCCCAAUCCAUUCUCUCAUGUUUGCUGAUGAUCUCCUUGUUUGUGGUCUGGCCACGAUAGAGGAAGCUAAUACUAUAAAUGAGAUUAUACGUUCUUUUUGUAUUAUCUCUGGUCAAACCCCCAACUGGACCAAAUCAGGUAUUCUGUUUAGUAAAGGUGUGGAUCCUAGUAUACAACUUGCAAUCAGAAAUAUCUUUCCAGUUCCCAUCAUUGAUAAUCAUUUCACUCAUUUAGGUCACCCUCUCAUUCUCCCAGCUAAAGAUAGGUCCUCAGCUUAUAAUUUUGUUAUUGACAAAUUCAAAUCCAAGCUCCCAACCUAUAAAGCCAAUAAACUUUCACAUGCUGGUAGACUCACUCUUAUUAAUUCAGUUUUUGCUUCUAUUCCCAUUUAUUAUAUGUCAAAUAUUCUCUUCCCCAAAAAAUUCUUGGCCAAACUUACUGCUAUCAUUAGGAACUUCUGGUGGACAGGAGUUAGGGAAGAAGCUAAUGCCAAAUCUCUUUGUCUUAGAGCUUGGAAGGACAUUUGUGCUCCAAAAAAUGAAGGGGGACUAGGAAUCAAGAAUAUUCAAGCUACCAACAGGUGUCUCAUUCUUGCAGCUGCUUGGAGAAUUGUUGAAAAGCCUGACAGCCAUCUAUCAAAAAUCUUAAAAUCUAAAUACUUUCCUGACUCCUCUCUUUGGAGAGCCAAUUAUAAUGUUCCCAAAUCUGCCUUUUGGGCCUCCAUUCUUAAAGUUAGGCCAAUUCUUAUUAGAAAUUCUUUUUUCCAAAUCAGGGCUGGCAAUAUCUCUCUUUGGAGCUCUCCGUGGUUUAACACUUGGGAAAGUAUUUAUGAUCAUCUCAUAAUUCAAGAUAAUGAUUUUAUCUAUCCGGCUCUUAUUAGAGAUCUUUGGAUUCCAGGGCAGAAAAAAUGGAAUGCUAAUCUCAUAGAUCUUUUAUUUGAUUCUGAUACAGCUAAUUCCAUCAAGCAGGUGCCAAUCAUACAGGAAGAAGGUGAAGAUAUUUUAUGUUGGAAACACACACCAACAGGGAAAUUCACUACAAAAAGUGCAUAUAAAACUUGUUUCCAGGUCUUGCAAGAGGAAGGAGAGCCACAACCUAGAACUCUAAACAAUAAUUUAAAAGAACUCUUAAAGCAGGUAUGGAAGGACAGAAAUAUGGCUCCUAGAAUCCAAACAUUUGCAUGGAGACUGGUAAGAAAAGCUUUACCUACAGGGAAGAGAGCAGGAAUGACAAAGUUUUUCAAAGAAAAGAUGCAUCUCCAAUACAGGUCUUCCAUGCGGCUCAAGCAAUCAUAA